RNAcentral lists this long non-coding RNA (572 nucleotides) under Vigna radiata. RNAcentral's name for it is "long non-coding RNA (VRAD_LNC017679)". Lineage: Eukaryota; Viridiplantae; Streptophyta; Magnoliopsida; Fabales; Fabaceae. The record is from RNAcentral.
GGGUUGAGAGUGAAAUUGGUCAGUGGGGAGAGUCUGAGCAAGUGUAUUUAGACCUGUUAGAACCUUUAAAUCCUCCUAUAAUGUGUCAAAAGUAGGAAAAUGAAUUUUUGGNCAUUUAGAUGUGAUUAUGCAGAAUUUGGGGUGAAAGCUGAUAAGAGAUUCUUUAGGAUGAUGUUAGAAAGGUUUAGGUAUCCUUGGAUAGGUGUAAAUAUGAGUAUGAUGCAAGUUUGGAAGAUUGAAAGUUGGAAAAAAGAGUAGGAAUUGGUAAAAUAGGUGUUGUUCAUAAUUCUGCAGUUGAUCUGCAGAAUUAUGCAGUUUGCGGAAUGUCAGUCUUUGGCCGCUCGGCCUUUCUCCUGUGUUCGGUCGUAAUUGAGUUCUGUUUCUGUGGAGCUUUCAGUUAAUGACCGAAUGAUCUUACACUAGUACUCGGUCUAGUAUUGGUGUUCGGUCUUAACUACGUUCGGCCUCUGUAGAGCCUUAUUAGUUAAUGACUNUUCGGUCUCACUCNAAUGUUCGGUCUUAACUACGUUCGGCCUUUGUAGAGCCUUACUAGUUAAUGACUGUUUGGUCUC